Molecule: long non-coding RNA, 559 nt
Organism: Poecilia latipinna (sailfin molly)
Lineage: Eukaryota; Metazoa; Chordata; Actinopteri; Cyprinodontiformes; Poeciliidae
Exons: 2
Source: RefSeq, a predicted model, not a curated record
UUGAGAAAUAACGAGCUUUGGUUAAAUAUAAAACAGGCUGAGCUCCACUCAGCUCACCUUAGGGGAGACACCAAGUGAAGAUUGUAGAGCGAGUUCUGCUUUAUUUUCUCCUCAUUCUGCUUCCUCUCCAAUGUGUUUCCUGCCUUCAUCAGUUUUUCUUGUGACUGUCGUCAGUCUUAAAUGUUGUGGUUAUGUCAGCCUGUAGUCGUGUACGAGAGCAGAUAAAACAGAGAAAAGACAAAGUCCCUUUGUCCAUAACAGAGUGUUCCUUAUGAAUUUAUUGUAACAUUUCUUGUUUAUAAAAUCACAAGAUUCAUAGUUUCUUUUACAAAGGACAUUUUAGUUACAUUAGUCUUUUUGUUUUUCAUAGUGUGGCAACAGGGCUUUUUUCUAUUUUUUUGUAUUUGUUUUCCUUACUUUGAACUUUGUUAGCACAUUAGCUCCACUUGACACCAAACUAAGUUUUAGCCACAUAAAACAGAUGUUUUUAUUUUCCGAUAAGCAGAUGAAUAUAUAAUCAUGUCUCUAAUUAGUCAAAUCACAAACUGUUACUCGCUGG